CCCUUAGAUGUCCUGGGCCGCACGCGUGCUACACUGACACCUGCAACGAGUUAUUCCAGCUCCGAAAGACAGUUGGUAAUCAGAAAUAGGUGUCGUGAUGGGGAUAGACCCUUGGAAUUAUGGAUCUUGAACGAGGAAUGCCUAGUAAGCGCACGUCAUUAGCGUGCGCUGAUUAAGUCCCUGCCCUUUGUACACACCGCCCGUCGCUCCUACCGAUUUCGAGUGGUCCGGUGAGCCUUUUGGAGAGUGAGCGUCCUUGAGGCGCUUGCUCGAAGUCAGGCAAAUCUUACUACUUAGAGGAAGGAUAAGUCGUAACA
RNAcentral lists this ribosomal RNA (317 nucleotides) under uncultured eukaryote. RNAcentral's name for it is "partial 18S ribosomal RNA". It matches the Rfam family "Eukaryotic small subunit ribosomal RNA", at positions 1470 to 1796 of the family's 1831-position model. The record is from RNAcentral.